AUGGUUAAUUAGAUGAUCGAUCUAUUACCUUAUUGGUAAUGGGUAGGAAAGUCCGGACACUCGCUCUAAGUAAUUAGAACAAUUGUAACGGCUAACAGCCGUCUGCCGUAAGGCACGAGGUGCGAACAGUGACGUCCAUCGUCGAAAGACUAUGGAGAUCCUUCGCAAGAAGGAUUAUGCCAAUUGCAAAAUUGGAGUGAAACGGCUAAAUCCUUACUGGGUGCAAGGUCGUAUCCCUGCUCUUUUAUUAGAAAAGGGAGGUGCCGCUUGACCCCGAGAGUAAUCAAGGGGCUAGAUAAAUGAUCAUCAUUCCCGAUUUAUCAGGAAACAGAAUCCGGCUUACUAUUAACCAUAUAC
RNAcentral lists this RNase P RNA (357 nucleotides) under Candidatus Harrisonbacteria bacterium RIFCSPLOWO2_01_FULL_40_28. RNAcentral's name for it is "RNase P RNA component class A". It matches the Rfam family "Bacterial RNase P class A". From Rfam's summary of the family: Ribonuclease P (RNase P) is a ubiquitous endoribonuclease, found in archaea, bacteria and eukarya as well as chloroplasts and mitochondria. The record is from RNAcentral. RNAcentral also lists the same sequence under 1 other name. Lineage: Bacteria; Candidatus Harrisoniibacteriota.